CAGCUUAUAAAAAGCUCGACUGGAUAGAGCAUUCCGAUUUCAAUCGGAACGGUCACAGGUUCGAAUCCUGUCGCGCUCG
This 79-nucleotide transfer RNA is filed under the name Elizabethkingia miricola. RNAcentral's name for it is "tRNA-Glu". Lineage: Bacteria; Pseudomonadati; Bacteroidota; Flavobacteriia; Flavobacteriales; Weeksellaceae. The record is from RNAcentral.